CAGAAUGUAGCUUAUAUAUAAAGUUAUUUAUUUACAUUAAUUAGAAGAUCAUUAAUUAUGAUUCCUUUCUGA
RNAcentral lists this transfer RNA (72 nucleotides) under Bolanusoides shaanxiensis. Its description in RNAcentral is "tRNA-Val". The record is from RNAcentral. Lineage: Eukaryota; Metazoa; Arthropoda; Insecta; Hemiptera; Cicadellidae.